GUUGUUUUUGUGCGGUGAGCAAAGGGGCUUGGGAUUGGUAGGGGGGUGUCUUCAUGCUUCCACUGCCUUGCUCAUCUACCCUCCUUCACCCCCCUCCCUCCCCCGUGAAUAGGAUUGCGCUGCUGUUCGCUGUGUUGCAUGAUGCGGUUUGUGUCCCGGCUCUCACGAACAAUCCCGCCCGGAGUUUACCAUACUUGAUCUCUUGCGCGGACCUACGGGUGCCCAGAUGCGUGGCGUGUGGUAGGCGGCGCGUACGUGCGCGCGCUGCAACUGCGCCAAAGGGGUCAUUGUCAAAUUCCUUGCAGCGGCUGGUGCGAGAUGGUAGGAGGGGGAACUUUCUCUCCUCUGCCCUAUCAUCCCUGUUGGUGCCGUGCCAGGACCGUAUGACUCCAAGAGCUGUUUGCCGUUGUGCGUGUGCGCGUGGGUGAGCGAGAGACGACGACGACAACUGAACCUCAUUUGCAAUACACAGUUGGUGAGAGCCUUUCUUUCGAUGAUGAUGCACGAGUUAAUCCAUUCUCUGAGUCUCUGUGUGCGUGUGUAUGUGCGCAGGUGCACUGCCGAACUGCGGCGUGACGGGUGCUAGACAUGCGGGGGCUGCUGUGUCGAGGAGCAUGAGCAGUGUGCAGCCGCAAGCAAAGGAGCACGGGGGGACUCCAAACACCGUCUAUUCCCCUGCGUGAUGGAACUGUGACGAGACGGCAUGUGAUGCAACGCCUCCAACGCUGGACCGCACUGCUUGCUGUUUGCACGGGAAGGGGCGGGUGCUGCGGCAUCGUGUGUGUUGGCGUCUGGCACCUGGCGGUGGCUGGAUCGCCAUGUCACCGCACGGGAGAGCUGCCUAUCGGCAUCGCUCAUCCUUGCAGCGCACACGCCUUUGCCCUCACCCUGCUGCCGAGAUGUGGGGCACUGUGAAGACGGUGGAGAACAAAG
Molecule: unclassified non-coding RNA, 933 nt
Filed under: Leishmania donovani
Lineage: Eukaryota; Euglenozoa; Kinetoplastea; Trypanosomatida; Trypanosomatidae
Description: gene:unknown
Rfam family: Trypanosomatid snoRNA TB11Cs3H1 (bases 156-227)
Source: RNAcentral